This 282-nucleotide ribosomal RNA is filed under the name Agrobacterium tumefaciens. RNAcentral's name for it is "partial 16S rRNA". It matches the Rfam family "Bacterial small subunit ribosomal RNA", at positions 43 to 357 of the family's 1533-position model. The record is from RNAcentral. Lineage: Bacteria; Pseudomonadati; Pseudomonadota; Alphaproteobacteria; Hyphomicrobiales; Rhizobiaceae.
CAGGCUUAACACAUGCAAGUCGAACGCCCCGCAAGGGGAGUGGCAGACGGGUGAGUAACGCGUGGGAACAUACCCUUUCCUGCGGAAUAGCUCCGGGAAACUGGAAUUAAUACCGCAUACGCCCUACGGGGGGAAGAUUUAUCGGGGGAGGAUUGGCCCGCGUUGGAUUAGCUAGUUGGUGGGGUAAAGGCCUACCAAGGCGACGAUCCAUAGCUGGUCUGAGAGGAUGAUCAGCCACAUUGGGACUGAGACACGGCCCAANNCCUACGGGAGGCAGCAUGG